UCAUAAGCAUAAUUUAUAUUGAAGUGCGGAAAUAUAAUGAUAUUCAAGGAAUUCUGUUAAACUAAAUAAAAUGGAAUUCCCGAACUUUGAAUAUAAUAUUAUAACAAAACAUCUAUCAGACCCAGCUAACGAAGCCUGUAAUCAUAACUAAACUGUCUAGGCUGGAACAAGGCUCCGACGAUAUCAUGAAAACUGAAAAUACUGAAUGUCAAAAUGAAUUGCCUUUCGAAGAUGGAUGGUUCACCAACUUUGAUGUUUUUGGGAUAAUCCAUAUAGACACAUAAUUUUAUCCCUCCUGAAAGUGUAUUUUUAUCCAUUUACCCCGUCUUACCAUGCACCCUCAAUUAUGUGAUAAUGCCCCCUCCCACCCCCCUUAAAAGCCAAAUAAACAAAUUCAUAACCAUUUUUUUGACACCUUACUCUAAUAAAUUUAAUCUCAUCCUACCCACCCUAACCAUCCUACCUCACAUACCCCUACCCAUCUCAUGCACCGUACCCCUUCUCACAUUUUAUUCCCUUUUCUAACAAACUCACAAAAGACAAAAAAUAUAUAUACACAUCACGGAAUAUACGCACAGAUAGAAAACACACUCUAUACAUAUAUUCAUCACUCACACACAACAACGAAUCUACACACCACUCCCACAUACAGAAUACACACAUAUUCUCACCUGGACAAUAUGCACAAACACACAGAGUGAAGAAACUCACACAGACGCACAGUAAAUCGAGAGAGAGACUGAUGAUCGGAGAUAGAGAAAAUAGAGAGAAGGUGAUCAGAAAAAUAGCUGAAGGUAAGAGAGAUCGAGAGGAGAGGGAUUGAGCGAAAGCAGUGAAGAAUUAGAGGGAAAAGCAGAGAGAGAAACGGGAGCGAAAUCAGUUUGCACUACUCUGAAAUUCCGGCGAAAUUUCACCGGAAUCACUGUUCCAACCUUAAAUUCGACACACCCAACUCGCCAACAACCUUAUUCCCUCGCCGUAAACGUCCCAUCCCCAAAACCUGAUCGAAACUAGCUUCAACAUACUCCAAACCCCAUCGAAAAACCAAAACCUGGCAAAAAAUCCAACAAAACAGUCACCCCGUCCCCUUUCCGGCGAAUAUUCAUUUGAAAUUCAUUGGAAAACGAUAUGGAAUUGGUACUGGUCUUCUCCGCUUGUGAUUUCUGGUUCGAUUUUGGCGAGGAAAAGUAAAGGGGAUUAGAUCAAAGCUGGAUUUAUUUGUUUUGUUGAGGUUCAGUUCGAGAUUUUGGACGCGUUUUUAGCCGGAAGGAUUAUUCCAACUGAAAAAUAUUUGAGGUAUUCAUACUACCAAAGAAAAUUCUGCAGUUUAUUGAGAUGAUUUGCAAAAGGUUCCGAUGGACUGGAUCUGCUGAGAUAUCCAUAAACGCGCUUGUGGCUUGGGUACAAAAUAUGCACUCCUAUGGUAGCUUGUGGCUUGAACAUGAUUAAUGUCCAACUAUGGAAUAAAGCAGCAAUUUGCUAACUGCUCUGCGAUAUUUGCAUAAACAAGGAGAAGCUAUGAGUGGUGUGGGUGCACUCUUUUUUUUACAUAAAAACGGUUCUGUCUGGAACACAGUGCCCAGGACUGCAUCCUGGAUGAUCAUUAAGGCCGAGAAGUGUUUAGAAGAAGGGAUUACAAUGCAGGAGUUUAUGUGGAUGCAACAGUUCUCUAUUAAAUGUAUCAAGUACUGCAGGGAACCUAUCCUAAAGUUGGCUGGAGAAAGCUCAUUUGUAACAACUAAGGUCGUCCCAAAUGGAAGUUCAUACUUCAUACUAUGGUUAGCUAUUCAAGGAAGGCUGCAAACAAAGGACAGACUUGCUAUUCAAAGAAGGCUGCAAACAAAGGACAGACUUGCUAUUCAAAGAAGGCUGCAAACGAAGGACAGACUUGCUAAGUGGAAGGUAGAUUUGGACUUCACGAGUCCAUUGUGUGCAGGGAGAAUCAAUGCAACUCCUAUUUUUCACUUGUCCUGUAUUUGGUCAUAUCUGAAAAGAAUUCUUAGUUGGCAAGGCAUUCAAAGAAGCAAUAUAUGAUGGCUGGAAGAAGUGGCAUGUGCUCAAACUCAUUGUCGAGGCAAGUCUAAAGGUGUAUAUAUGAGUGUAAAGGUCCGGGGAAGUGUUUGACCACAAGGGUCUAUUGUAUGCAGCCUUACCUUGCAUUUCUGCGUGUUUCAAAAUGCAUCCUGGCCAGCAGAAGCAAUCGUCAAGAGGAUUAUUCAGGAGGUGUAUUUCAGAGCCAACUUAAUUCCAGCAUAUACUGCCUACCUAGCUAGAAUGGAAUCAUAUUCUGGAUAAUGGCUACUAGGAGCACGGAGGUCUAGAUAGCCUAGCUUUGGUGAGCAACUGGUCUGGGUCUUUUUUCGCUAGCCAGUGCACAAGUUUUUGCCUUCUUUAUGUUUAUUUCCUUCCCUUUCUUGGGAUGUAAAACCCAUUUGGGGAAUAAUGUAAGUUAGUCACCAAAGAAAAAAUUUUAAUUCAUCUUUUAUUAUCA
Long non-coding RNA from Capsicum annuum, 2491 nucleotides. RefSeq lists it as uncharacterized. The record is from RefSeq and is a predicted model, not a curated record. NCBI's taxonomy places the organism in Eukaryota, Viridiplantae, Streptophyta, Magnoliopsida, Solanales, Solanaceae. The transcript is spliced from 2 exons.